RNAcentral lists this long non-coding RNA (783 nucleotides) under Homo sapiens (human). Its description in RNAcentral is "HSALNT0043687". The record is from RNAcentral. Lineage: Eukaryota; Metazoa; Chordata; Mammalia; Primates; Hominidae.
GACACCAUGAGAUGUUUUCUACUGUAGAAACUUUCUCAUUAGAAAUAGCCCAUUUAUACAGGGGACUGGCUAAUGUUUUUCUAUGAGUAUCAUUAGCCAGUGUCUCAAAGUGGUGAAGAGACUGCAACCUGGAACAAGGAGAGACAAAGGGAAGGAGGAGUCUGGAGCCAUAUUGAAGAUGAAAUUGAGAUAUGGACUAGGUGGUGGAUCGUUUUUAUAAGAGGACAUAAAAGAGGAUGCUAAAGCUAAUUGCCACAAUCAGAACUCAAAGACCUAGCAAAUGCAAGACACUGGCCACCUCCCUGAACCUGGGCCAAGAUGAGGGUCUACACCUUGGCUUAGUUCUACUAUGAAAGACUUUCCUGCAGUAAAAGUUACCUGUCUGAAACAUUCAGAAGAGUGAAAAUGCCACAUCUCCAAUUUCCAGCAAUAUAUUUGUCUGCCAUGAUUUGGCCUGGAAGCUUAAGCAGGAAGACCACUUGGAGCCAGACUUCAGAGUGAUCUGUCUCUAAGGAAUAACUUUCAUAUUGCAGCGUUCGGUUUUGCAAUUCUUCCUAAGCUACUCUAAAUUCGCAGCAUAAAUCUGCAGAAAGACUUCACCCUCCACAUCAAACCCUUAUAAGGAUCCAUUUCUGCUCUCAUUUUAGAAUAUCUUUUCUAAUAGCUAAAGGCAGACAGAGGCAAACCAAGAAAUCCAGACUUUGCAUCAACGGGUUAAAUCAUAUGUCAAAGGUGCAACCAUAACGUAUUACAAGCUUCUCAUCACAUAAUACAUCACUCAAG